AAUAACAAGAGUUUUACAAACAAAAGCUUAACAACAAUAAAAUGACGAGGUUAACAAACACAACAAUCAUACAAACGAGUCAUUUUGAAUAGCAUGUCGUACAGUUUCCUUCAUCGAGGGAACUUUAGUACUUAAGGGCUUGGCAGAGGUGGCAACGGUACUGGCAGCUCUGGUAGUGGUAGUUUGGGAAGUCCUGGCAAAGGUACUGGCAACUCCGGUAUGGGCAAAGUUGGCAGCUGAGAUUUUGGAAGUUCUGGCAGUUUAGGAAGAUCGGGCAUAGGUAAUGUGGGCAAUCCAGGCUGUGGCAAUGUUGGUAGCUCGGGUUUUGGGAGGCCAAUGGGAAGAUCAGGCUUCGGCACAUCUGGCAAACUUACUUCCAAAAGACGGCGAGCCUCCGCUUGAAUUGCAUGGCUGCUGAUUGAUGAUAAGACAAAGAGGAAGAGAAGGUAAAGGGAGUGAUGAGCCAUAGUUAUAGCAGAUGAUUUAUACAGUUCCAAGU
Molecule: long non-coding RNA, 499 nt
Filed under: Capsicum annuum
Lineage: Eukaryota; Viridiplantae; Streptophyta; Magnoliopsida; Solanales; Solanaceae
Description: long non-coding RNA (CANN_LNC011692)
Source: RNAcentral